CAGUCGCCGCGGGAAUACGUAGGUCCCGAGCGUUGUCCGGAUUUAUUGGGCGUAAAGCGAGCGCAGGCGGUUAGAUAAGUCUGAUGUUAAAGGCUGUGGCUUAACCGUAGUACGCUUUGGAAACUGUUUAACUUGAGUGCAGAAGGGGAGAGUGGAAUUCCAUGUGUAGCGGUGAAAUGCGUAGAUAUAUGGAGGAACACCGGUGGCGAAAGCGGCUCUCUGGUCUGUAACUGACGCUGAGGCUCGAAAGCGUGGGGAGCAAACAGGAUUAGAUACCCCCGUAGUCCCUGUCUCUUAUACA
RNAcentral lists this ribosomal RNA (301 nucleotides) under uncultured bacterium. Its description in RNAcentral is "partial 16S ribosomal RNA". It matches the Rfam family "Bacterial small subunit ribosomal RNA", at positions 509 to 808 of the family's 1533-position model. The record is from RNAcentral.